Molecule: ribosomal RNA, 838 nt
Filed under: uncultured Bacteroidota bacterium
Lineage: Bacteria; Pseudomonadati; Bacteroidota
Description: bacterial SSU rRNA
Rfam family: Bacterial small subunit ribosomal RNA
Source: RNAcentral
GGAUCCAGACUUUGAUCCUGGCUCAGGAUGAACGCUAGCUACAGGCUUAACACAUGCAAGUCGAGGGGAAACGAUAUUGAAAGCUUGCUUCCGAUAGGCGUCGACCGGCGCACGGGUGAGUAACGCGUAUCCAACCUGCCCAUCACUUGGGGAUAACCUUGCGAAAGUAAGACUAAUACCCAAUGAUAUCUCUAGAAGACAUCUGAAAGAGAUUAAAGAUUCAUCGGUGAUGGAUGGGGAUGCGUCUGAUUAGCUUGUUGGCGGGGUAACGGCCCACCAAGGCGACGAUCAGUAGGGGUUCUGAGAGGAAGGUCCCCCACAUUGGAACUGAGACACGGUCCAAACUCCUACGGGAGGCAGCAGUGAGGAAUAUUGGUCAAUGGGCGAGAGCCUGAACCAGCCAAGUAGCGUGCAGGAUGACGGCCCUAUGGGUUGUAAACUGCUUUUAUAAGGGAAUAAAGUGAGCCUCGUGAGGCUUUUUGCAUGUACCUUAUGAAUAAGGACCGGCUAAUUCCGUGCCAGCAGCCGCGGUAAUACGGAAGGUCCGGGCGUUAUCCGGAUUUAUUGGGUUUAAAGGGAGCGUAGGCCGGAGAUUAAGCGUGUUGUGAAAUGUAGAUGCUCAACAUCUGCACUGCAGCGCGAACUGGUUUCCUUGAGUACGCACAAAGUGGGCGGAAUUCGUGGUGUAGCGGUGAAAUGCUUAGAUAUCACGAAGAACUCCGAUUGCGAAGGCAGCUCACUGGAGCGCAACUGACGCUGAAGCUCGAAAGUGCGGGUAUCGAACAGGAUUAGAUACCCUGGUAGUCCGCACGGUAAACGAUGGAUGCCCGCUGUUGGU